RNAcentral lists this ribosomal RNA (497 nucleotides) under uncultured bacterium. RNAcentral's name for it is "partial 16S ribosomal RNA". It matches the Rfam family "Bacterial small subunit ribosomal RNA", at positions 28 to 507 of the family's 1533-position model. The record is from RNAcentral.
GAUGAACGCUGGCGGCGUGCCUAAUACAUGCAAGUCGAGCGAACAGACGAGGAGCUUGCUCCUCUGACGUUAGCGGCGGACGGGUGAGUAACACGUGGAUAACCUACCUAUAAGACUGGGAUAACUUCGGGAAACCGGAGCUAAUACCGGAUAAUAUAUUGAACCGCAUGGUUCAAUAGUGAAAGACGGUUUUGCUGUCACUUAUAGAUGGAUCCGCGCCGCAUUAGCUAGUUGGUAAGGUAACGGCUUACCAAGGCGACGAUGCGUAGCCGACCUGAGAGGGUGAUCGGCCAGACUGGAACAGAGACACGGUCCAGACUCCUACGGGAGGCAGCAGUAGGGAAUCUUCCGCAAUGGGCGAAAGCCGGACGGAGCAACGCCGCGUGAGUGAUGAAGGUCUUCGGAUCGUAAAACUCUGUUAUUAGGGAAGAACAAAUGUGUAAGUAACUAUGCACGUCUUGACGGUACCUAAUCAGAAAGCCACGGCUAACUACGUG